AACGAACGCUGGCGGCAGGCCUAACACAUGCAAGUCGAGCGCCCUUUCGGGGGUGCGGCGGACGGGUGAGUACCGCGUGGGAAUAUGCCCUUCUCUACGUAAUAGCCUCGGGAAACUGAGAGUAAUACCGUAUACGCCCUGUGGGGGAAAGAUUUAUCGGGGAAGGAUUAGCCCGCGUUGGAUUAGGUAGUUGGUGGGGUAAUGGCCUACCAAGCCGACGAUCCAUAGCUGGUUUGAGAGGAUGAUCAGCCACACUGGGACUGAGACACGGCCCAGACUCCUACGGGAGGCAGCAGUGGGGAAUCUUAGACAAUGGGGGCAACCCUGAUCGAGCCAUGCCGCGUGAGUGAUGAAGGCCUUAGGGUUGUAAAGCUCUUUCAGCUGGGAAGAUAAUGACGGUACCAGCAGAAGAAGCCCCGGCUAACUCCGUG
This 431-nucleotide ribosomal RNA is filed under the name uncultured bacterium. Its description in RNAcentral is "partial 16S ribosomal RNA". It matches the Rfam family "Bacterial small subunit ribosomal RNA", at positions 29 to 507 of the family's 1533-position model. The record is from RNAcentral.